This 74-nucleotide transfer RNA is filed under the name Acidobacteriota bacterium. RNAcentral describes it as "tRNA-Arg". It matches the Rfam family "tRNA". Rfam says of the family: Transfer RNA (tRNA) molecules are approximately 80 nucleotides in length. Their secondary structure includes four short double-helical elements and three loops (D, anti-codon, and T loops). Further hydrogen bonds mediate the characteristic L-shaped molecular structure. tRNAs have two regions of fundamental functional importance: the anti-codon, which is responsible for specific mRNA codon recognition, and the 3' end, to which the tRNAs corresponding amino acid is attached (by aminoacyl-tRNA synthetases). tRNAs cope with the degeneracy of the genetic code in two manners: having more than one tRNA (with a specific anti-codon) for a particular amino acid; and 'wobble' base-pairing, i.e. permitting non-standard base-pairing at the 3rd anti-codon position. Lineage: Bacteria; Pseudomonadati; Acidobacteriota. The record is from RNAcentral.
GCGCCCAUAGCUCAAUUGGAUAGAGCGUUGGUCUCCGAAGCCAAAGGUUGUAAGUUCAAGUCUUACUGGGCGCA